UUGUCUCUCCCUUCCUACUUCAAACUAAAAAGACCACAGUCGGAUGCAUCAAUCCAUUCAAUCUUCUCAAAGUUUGAAGCUUUUGAUCAAGAACCCUCCUUCCUUUCCCAAUCCCCCGAUUUCCCAGUUCUGCAAUUUCUCCAUUGUUUCACUCCAGGCUACCUGAACAUUUCAAUCUUCAACUCUCCUGUUCUGAAAGAAAAGAGUUUUGUUGGGUUCAUUGGAUUUGAUGGAUACCAAUAAGUGGAGGCCUUAUCAAGUUGGAGAGGCCGCCAUGGAUGCCGGCGAUUGGAGGAGUCAGCUGCAGGCUGAUUCAAGGCAAAGAAUUGUCAACAAGAUAAUGGAUACAUUGAAGAGGCAUCUUCCCUUCUCCGGACAAGAUGGAUUACAGGAACUCAGUAAAAUUGCUGUAAGGUUUGAGGAAAAGAUUUAUACUGCAGCCACAAGCCAGUCGGAUUAUCUACGGAAAAUUUCUCUGAAGAUGCUCACAAUGGAGACCAAGUAUCAGAAUUCAAUGGGCAAUCCUUUACAAUCUAACUCUGCUGGUAACAGCAACAGGCCCCCUGAUCCAGGGUCUUUUGGUAUGCAACCCCAAGUUCCCAAUCAAGGUAUGCAACCCCAAGUCCCCAAUCAUGGGCAAUCACUCUCUAUGCCGUUACCAGCUAAUCAAUCUCAAGGACGCCAACCACUUUUAUCACAGAGCAUUCAGAAUAACAUUCCACCUGCUGGAGUUCAAAGUUCGUCUGGCUUAUCAUCUGCACUACCUCCUUCUUCCGGUUUAACCCAGACUCCUAUCCCAAGUAUAGGUGGACAAAACCCAAACAUGCAAAAUAUGUCUGGAAGUUCACAGAAUUCAUUAGGGAAUUCCAUGGGCCAGGGGGUACCCUCCAAUGUCUUUGCUAAUUCUCAAAGGCAAAUGCCAGGAAGGCAACAGGUAGCUCCCCAACAGCAGCAGCCGCAGCAAUCCCAGAAUUCCCAGAAUUCCCAGCAGUAUAUGUACCAUCAACAGAUGCAACAUUCGCUUUUGAAGCCAAAAUAUGAGCAGGGAAAUAUGCCACAACUUGUGCAACAGCAACAGCAACAGCAGCAGAACCUUUUACAACCGACUCAGUUGCAAUCUUCCCAGCAAUCUGUUAUGCCAACAUCGUCUGUUAUGCAGCCUUCAGUGCAAUCAUCUGUCCAGCAGAAUCAACAAUCUGCUAUGCAACAGUCAUCACAACCCAUGCUUCCGCAGCAUUCACAGCCAGUUCUCAGGCAGCAACAGCAGCCUCAACAGGUAGCUGUUCAUCAACAGCAAACACCAAUGGCACAACAGCCAAUAUUAACCCCGCAGCAGCAGCAGCCAACUGCUUCAAACUUGUCCCAGAAUCAGAUGAUUGGACAACAAACUAAUGUCGGGGAUAUGCAGCAGCAGCAACAACAGAGGUUACUAAACCAGCAGAAUAAUCUUUUAAACCUGCAACAACAGCAACAGCAACAGCAGCAGCAGCAGCAGCAGCAACAGCAACAACAGCAGCAGCAGCAGCAGUUAAUGGCUCAGCAAAGCAACCUUUCUAAUAUCCAUCAGCAACAAUUGGGCCCGCAGAGUAAUGUUACUGGGUUACAGCAACAGCAGCAAAGCAACCUUUCAAAUAUGCAUCAGCAACAGUUGGGCUCUCAGAGUAAUGUUACCGGAUUACAGCAACAGCAGCACCUUGGAACUCAAAGUGGUAAUUCUAGUAUGCAACCAAAUCAGCACUCUGUACACUUGUUGCAACAAUCCAAGGUUCAGGUGCAGCAGCAACAACAUCCGAAUGCAUCUAACAUGUUACCGACUCAAGGACAGCAGUCACAACCGCAAGCAUCACAGCAACAAAUGAUGUCACAGAUUCAAUCACAGCCACAGAUGCAACAAAUGGGUUUGCAACAGCAGUCAAAUCCACUGCAACGAGAUAUGCAGCAAAGGCUUCAAGCAUCAGGUCAGAUAUCAGGAACCAUGCUUCAAGCUCAAAAUGUAAUGGAUCAGCAAAAGCAGUUAUAUCAAUCUCAGAGACCCCUUGCUGAGACAUCAUCGACUUCUCUGGAUUCCUCAGCUCAGGCUGGACAUGCAAAUGGGGGUGAUUGGCAAGAGGAGGUCUAUCAAAAAAUCAAAGUCAUGAAGGAAAGGUACUUACCCGAACUAAGUGAAAUGUAUCAGAAAAUUGCUACUAAACUUCAGCAGCACGAUUCUCUUCCACAACAACCAAAGUCAGAGCAGCUUGAGAAGCUAAAAAUGUUCAAAACCAUGUUAGAGCGCCUCAUAUCAGUCUUACAGAUUUCCAAGAGUAAUGUUUCACCUGGUUUGAAAGAUAAUUUGGGUUUAUAUGAGAAGCAGAUAGUAAAUUUUAUUAAUACAAAUAGACCACGGAAGCAAGAUCCUCUGCAACAAGGGCAGUUCCCCCCACCUCAUAUGCACUCCAUGCAGCAGCCGCAGUCUCAAAUUCGUCAAGUGCAGUCUCAUGAAAAUCAAAUGAACCCGCAGUUGCAAACAAUGAAUUUACAAGGUUCUGUGCCAACAAUGCAGCAGAACUAUAUGACAAGCUCGGAGCAAAAUUCAAUGUCUUCGAUUUCUGGGGUUUCAACAGCACAGCAACAUGAUGAAUUCAUUGCAGCCAAGUACAAAUUUGGAUUCAGGACAGGGAAAUGCACCGAACUCUUUGCAGCAAGUUCCGGUGGGAUCUAUCCAACAAACUCCUGUCAGUGCUCCCCAGCAAGCUAACAUGAAUGGUCUGUCAUCGCAGAGUGGGGUUAGUAUGCUUCAGCCAAAUAUUAUCUCCCUUCAGUCAAAUUCUGGUAUGCUUCAACACCAGCAAUUAAAACAGCAGGAACAGCAAAUGUUUCAGAAUCAACUGAAGCAACAGUAUCAACAGCGAAUGCAGCAGCAAUUGAUACAGAAGCAGCAGAUACUGCAACAGCAACAGCAGCAGCAACAGUUGCAGCAAGCAAAGCAGCAGCUUCCGGCGCAGAUGGAGGCGAACCAACACCAAAUGCCACUGCUUCAUCAAAUGAAUGAUGCAAAUGACUUGAAGAUGAGACAGGGGAUGGGUGUUAAGCCAGGGGUUUUUCAGCAACAUAUAUCCGCAGGCCAGCGUGCUUAUCCACAUCAGCAGUUGAAAUUAGGAUCUCCAUUUCCUAUUCCAUCAUCAAACCAACUCAUUCAGGCUGCAUCUCGUCAAAUUUCGCAACAUUCUUCUCCCCAAGUUGACCACAAGAAUCUACUGACUCACCUGAAAGCUGGAACACCAUUGCAAACUGCCGGUUCACCUGUUGUCAUCCCAUCUCCUUCAACUCCCAUGGUUCCAUCCCCCAUGCCAGGGGAUUCUGAGAAACCUUCCUCACUACCAAAUGCUGGGAAUAUCGGACAUCAACAAGCAGCUGGGGUGGGAGCACCAGUCCAGUCCCUUGCAAUUGGCACUAGUGGGAUGUUGGCAUCUCCUUUGCUUGCUGAAUUUAUUGUACCAGAUGCUAGUCAUGUUAAUGCUUUGUCAACUAUUUCUGGCAAAUCGAGUGUUACCGAGCAGCCUCUUGAACGCUUGAUUAAGGCGGUGAAAUCGAUGUCACCUAAUGCAUUGAGUGCAUCUGUCAGUGACAUUGGCUCAGAUGCAUUGAGUGCAUCUGUUUGCUGCUGUGAGGUGGAAGGCUGGGCGUUGUCAUCGGUGUGGUGCUGCUACUCCCGCCACUGCUGCUGCCAGAAGAAGAAACAAGGGCAAGAAGGAUGUGACGCUUGAAGAAUUUAUAUCAUUUGCAACAUACGCGGAAAAAUAUUGUCAAACAUAUGCGGAUUCUGCUGAUAAUGCCAGGGCAGUGGAAAAGAAAGUGCAAUGGGCACUGCACAGUGCAUUGUAAAGUGGAUUGCACCAUUGUAGAGAUGCUGGCGAGCUUCAACAAAACGAAGAGACCGCAACCGCAACCGCGAAAUGAAUGGACCGCAUUUUGAAAGAUUUCUAGCUAUUUGCCAAUAAUUAAUUAAAGAGACUGCAUUUUUUUGACGUUUUAUGUGUGUUUGGAACAGUAGAAAUGUUAUUUACUUUUAUUGUAUGACUAUGGGAAUGAUUUAUCAUCAGUUUUACUUUUAUAUGGUUGAAUUAGAGGAGCUCUCUCUCUCUC
Molecule: non-coding RNA, 4125 nt
Organism: Malus domestica (apple)
Lineage: Eukaryota; Viridiplantae; Streptophyta; Magnoliopsida; Rosales; Rosaceae
Source: RefSeq, a predicted model, not a curated record